RNAcentral lists this ribosomal RNA (497 nucleotides) under uncultured bacterium. Its description in RNAcentral is "partial 16S ribosomal RNA". It matches the Rfam family "Bacterial small subunit ribosomal RNA", at positions 28 to 507 of the family's 1533-position model. The record is from RNAcentral.
GAUGAACGCUGGCGGCGUGCCUAAUACAUGCAAGUCGAGCGAACAGACGAGGAGCUUGCUCCUUUGACGUUAGCGGCGGACGGGUGAGUAACACGUGGGUAACCUACCUAUAAGACUGGGAUAACUUCGGGAAACCGGAGCUAAUACCGGAUAAUAUUUCGAACCGCAUGGUUCGAUAGUGAAAGAUAGCUUUGCUAUCACUUAUAGAUGGACCUGCGCCGUAUUAGCUAGUUGGUAAGGUAACGGCUUACCAAGGCAACGAUACGUAGCCGACCUGAGAGGGUGAUCGGCCACACUGGAACUGAGACACGGUCCAGACUCCUACGGGAGGCAGCAGUAGGGAAUCUUCCGCAAUGGGCGAAAGCCUGACGGAGCAACGCCGCGUGAGUGAUGAAGGUCUUCGGAUCGUAAAACUCUGUUAUUAGGGAAGAACAAACGUGUAAGUAACUGUGCACGUCUUGACGGUACCUAAUCAGAAAGCCACGGCUAACUACGUG